This 407-nucleotide ribosomal RNA is filed under the name uncultured bacterium. RNAcentral's name for it is "partial 16S ribosomal RNA". It matches the Rfam family "Bacterial small subunit ribosomal RNA", at positions 30 to 526 of the family's 1533-position model. The record is from RNAcentral.
AUUGAACGCUGGCGGCAGGCCUAACACAUGCAAGUCGAGCGGAUAGGCGGACGGGUGAGUGAUGCCUAUGAAUCUGCCUGGCAGUGGGGGAUAACGUCCGGAAACGGGCGCUAAUACUGCACACUAUCUGAUGAGCGUAGGUCGGUUUGGCUAGUUCGUGGGGUAAAGGGCUACGAAGGCGACGAUCCGUAGCUGGUCUGAGAGGAUGAUCAGUCAAAUGGGUACGUAGAUAAGGUCCAGAAUCCUACGGGAGGCAGCAGUGGGGAAUAUUGGACAAUGGGCGAAAGCCUGAUCCAGCCAUGCGGGGUGUGUGAAGAAGGUCUUCGGAUUGUAAAGCACUUUAAGUUGGGAGGCGUUACCAACAGAAUAAGCACCGGCUAACUUCGUGCCAGCCGCCGCGGUAAUUC